RNA transcript from Mya arenaria, 1553 nucleotides. RefSeq lists it as uncharacterized. NCBI's taxonomy places the organism in Eukaryota, Metazoa, Mollusca, Bivalvia, Myida, Myidae. The transcript is spliced from 6 exons. The record is from RefSeq and is a predicted model, not a curated record.
GUGACAAAGUGUUAAGAACGUGAUUAAAGAAGUCACUUACAGAAAAUAGUGUAACUUGAUUUUUAAUAGUAUAAGAAAGUGAUAGUAUAUCGAUAUGCAGUGCGGACAGAGUUUCGUGUUCCACAUGUUGGUGUUGUUGACCAUCGCCACUGUAGGAAUCAUGUCUUUUAACUCCGCUCGGAUUCACAAACGCCCCACUUUGACGCAAUUGGGGAGAUACACUCCUAAACGAAGCCCGCACGGGCUGGGAAGCUGGCACUUAUCUGGUUCCAAAACGACAAGGACUACAGGUCAUUGGUCCGAGAGUGAUUCAGUUCGACCUAUAGUCAGCGGGGAAAAGGGGGCUUACGUAUACAUCUUUCAGGAAUCGAGACUUAUACCCCUGCUCGGACUCAUCACCGUCCCACAAGGGUGCAAGGUGCUAAAGGAAACCCACACGCCCCCGGAAAUUGGCAGCCCGUGUCCUGGUGCCAGUGUGGCCACACCGGAUGUGCCUGCUGCGAGGACAGUUUGGCCAGCCUCAAAAAUAAAAAGUUUCAUCUAAACGCUUGUAUUACUGUGGAUUGGAAUUCGGCCACAGAUGCAUACUCUGUUGUUCUCUCCGUCAAUGGCCGGACGCUGUACCACACCAUUACCAAUAUGCCUUCGAGCACCAUGGAAACAUGUGUGCCAGCGACCCGCAUGGAUGUGAAGGGAGAGAUCUGCUUUCGUUUCUAUAACUUCGAUCAAGGGACGGGGAACUUGUGCGCCUCAUUGGAGGCGGAAAUAGAGAUAGAGGAUCUAAAGGAAAUCAUUGCGAUAAAUUACGGCUGUUUUCGGAUUGGAACACGGCCUGAGUUAACACAAAACAGAUCCGAAUAGAAUCACGUGCAUGGAGUACGGAUUUUCGUGCAAUAUAGAAACGACGACAGAUAGAAAAUCAUCUUUUUUAUGAGAUAUUUAUAUUUAUAUUAUUUCUAUGUUUUGUUUUUUUAACACUUCGGCACAACGGUUGCUACUGACCAACACCGGGACCCAAUAUAUCACGAAAAUACUUAAGUCAAAACUCAAACUCAAUCUCAACUCAUUUUACCAUAUAACAUCAAAAUGUAUUGAGAAAAAUAUAUGUUUUUACACAUUUUAAAGCCGCAUUCUCUCAUUGAAUAUGUUGAUUGAAACCUUGUGUCUUGAUACCAAUGGAAAAAUAUUCUACCGCCAAAAAUGUACUUGAGUACAAAUCAGUGUCAUUUGACAUUUACUCAAGUAAAGUUUUUGCUAUAGAAUAAGUUUUCAUUUGAAUAUUGUCAAAAUCUUUCAAUAACACAUUCAAUGAGAAAAUGCGUUUUCAAAAAGUAUAAAAAACAUGCAAUAUUUUAAAGGAUAUUAUGUUUUAUAUGGUGAAAUGAGUUGAGACUGAGUUUGAGAUUUGACUUUAGUAUUUUCAUGAUAUUGGGUCCGGAACUUUUAUUGAAACACCUGAUAUAUCUAAUUUCCAUGUUUAAACGGAUAUACUCUCCGCUUUUCAACAGUUGAAAAUCUUACAUAAACUAAAGAUUGUUCACGAUUUCAAUAAA